GACGAACGCUGGCGGCAUGCCUAAUACAUGCAAGUCGAGCGAACAGAUGAAGUGCUUGCACUUCUGACGUUAGCGGCGAACGGGUGAGUAACACGUAAGGAAUCUACCUAUAAGCGGGGGAUAACAUUCGGAAACGGGUGCUAAUACCGCAUAAUACCUUCUUCCGCAUGGAAGAAGAUCGAAAGACGGCUCUGCUGUCACUUAUAGAUGACCUUGCGGUGCAUUAGUUAGUUGGUGGGGUAACGGCCUACCAAGACGAUGAUGCAUAGCCGACCGGGGAGGGUGAUCGGCCACAUUGGGACUGAGACACGGCCCAAACUCCUACGGGAGGCAGCAGUAGGGAAUCUUCCGCAAUGGGCGAAAGCCUGACGGAGCAAUGCCGCGUGAGUGAAGAAGGCCUUCGGGUCGUAAAACUCUGUUAUAAGAGAAGAACAAAUUGUAGAGUAACUGCUACAGUCUUGACGGUAUCUUAUCAGAAAGCCACGGCUAACUACGUGCCAGCCGCCGCAGUAA
Molecule: ribosomal RNA, 513 nt
Filed under: uncultured bacterium
Lineage: Bacteria
Description: partial 16S ribosomal RNA
Rfam family: Bacterial small subunit ribosomal RNA
Source: RNAcentral